This 71-nucleotide transfer RNA is filed under the name Ryssota otaheitana. RNAcentral describes it as "tRNA-Glu". The record is from RNAcentral. Lineage: Eukaryota; Metazoa; Mollusca; Gastropoda; Stylommatophora; Chronidae.
AUUUUAAUAGUAAAGUAUCAUUAUUACAUUAUUUUUUCAAAAUAAAGUAGCUAAAUAUAAAGCUUAAAAUC